RNAcentral lists this ribosomal RNA (576 nucleotides) under Triticum aestivum (bread wheat). RNAcentral's name for it is "partial small subunit ribosomal RNA". Lineage: Eukaryota; Viridiplantae; Streptophyta; Magnoliopsida; Poales; Poaceae. The record is from RNAcentral.
AUGUACUCCGGCGACGCGUCGACCAGCGAGGAUCCGCGGGCGUGCCGGGGGCCGUCGAGGCGCCGGCUGCGGAGCCGCGUGACCGCCGUCCGGGCGCCGCCGCUUGCCGACGUGCUGCGGGAGCGCGCGCUGGUGCACCUCCCGCCCGCGGCCGCCGCGCGCCUCCGCCUCGUGCACCCGUCCUGGGAGCGCCGGCUCGCGUCCCCGCUCUUCGCCGUGGCGCACGCGGCCGCCCCGCGCCGGAUGUCCGGCCUCUUCGUCCCCAAGGCAGGCUUCCUCCCGUUCGACGGGCCCGACGACGCUGUGCCGUCCCAGACGCUCGCCUUUGCCCCGGCCUCGGAGGAGGUCACCGUGCUCUCGUCGUCGCACGGGGUCGCGUGCUGCUACUCGCCCGCCGACGACGCGUUCUUCGUGUGCAACCCGGCCACCGCGUCCUGGGCGCCCGUCCCGUCCCCGCCGUGCCGCACCUGGCCGCGCCCCGCGAUCGUCGUCCUCUUCGACGCCACGCCGUACAACUUCCGCGGCGACUACGCGCUCGUCUGCGCCGCUGAGUGCGCGCCGGGCUCCGGCGCCUAC